RNAcentral lists this ribosomal RNA (250 nucleotides) under uncultured Pseudomonadaceae bacterium. RNAcentral describes it as "partial 16S ribosomal RNA". It matches the Rfam family "Bacterial small subunit ribosomal RNA", at positions 524 to 773 of the family's 1533-position model. The record is from RNAcentral. Lineage: Bacteria; Pseudomonadati; Pseudomonadota; Gammaproteobacteria; Pseudomonadales; Pseudomonadaceae.
UACGAAGGGUGCAAGCGUUAAUCGGAAUUACUGGGCGUAAAGCGCGCGUAGGUGGUUCGUUAAGUUGGAUGUGAAAGCCCCGGGCUCAACCUGGGAACUGCAUCCAAAACUGGCGAGCUAGAGUAUUGGAGAGGCAAGUGGAAUUCCUAGUGUAGCGGUGAAAUGCGUAGAUAUAGGAAGGAACACCAGUGGCGAAGGCGACCACCUGGGCUAAUACUGACACUGAGGUGCGAAAGCGUGGGGAGCAAAC